AGUAGCUCAGAGGCAGAGCAUUUGACUAGAACCUAUAAGGCCCUGGGUUCAAUCCCCAGUACUG
This 64-nucleotide transfer RNA is filed under the name Heterocephalus glaber (naked mole-rat). It matches the Rfam family "tRNA". Rfam says of the family: Transfer RNA (tRNA) molecules are approximately 80 nucleotides in length. Their secondary structure includes four short double-helical elements and three loops (D, anti-codon, and T loops). The record is from Rfam by way of RNAcentral. Lineage: Eukaryota; Metazoa; Chordata; Mammalia; Rodentia; Bathyergidae.